Molecule: non-coding RNA, 495 nt
Organism: Otolemur garnettii (small-eared galago)
Lineage: Eukaryota; Metazoa; Chordata; Mammalia; Primates; Galagidae
Source: the annotation of a RefSeq genome assembly
AUGUUGCUUUUCAGCCUGCUGAAGGUGGUCACAGCUUUGACGUGGCUAGGAUCUGGUAUUGCCCAGAAGGUAACUCAAGCUCAACCAGCGACACUGGUGCAGGAAAAGGAGCCUGUAACUCUGGGAUGCACAUAUGACACCAGUGAUAGUAGAUAUAGUCUUUACUGGUACAGGCAGCCCAGCAGUGGGGAGAUGAUUCUCAUUAUUCGCCAGGAUUCCUAUAGCCAGAAAAAUGAAACAGAUGGUCGCUACUCACUGAAUUUCCAGAAGGCCAGCAAAUCCAUCAACCUUGUCAUCUCAGCUGCACAACUGAAGGACUCAGCGACCUAUUUCUGUGCACUGAUAGAACUCACAGUGAGAGAACUGUUGGACGAAGGUGCACAAAAACCCCAGGUGUUGGCUUGCAACAUCCACCUGCUGUCAGGACCAAAGAAAGGAGUCUCCAUCACAGACAGGAAGUGGCUAGGCCUGUGGCGACAUAGGUGCAGGGUUUGA